RNAcentral lists this long non-coding RNA (1035 nucleotides) under Brassica napus (rape). RNAcentral describes it as "long non-coding RNA (BNAP_LNC024834)". Lineage: Eukaryota; Viridiplantae; Streptophyta; Magnoliopsida; Brassicales; Brassicaceae. The record is from RNAcentral.
CAAUACAUGAUAGGGUCACUAAACCCAAAUCUCAACCCCACCUUCCAAAUACUAAAUUCUAAAUCUUAAUCACUAAACUCUAAAUGAAUAAACUAACAGUUAGGCUUCAUAUUAUCCGGUUAUAUCCUCCACAUAUGCAAGUUGCCGGCACAGAAGAAGAAAGAAAUGACCCAAAGAAAGAAGAAAGACACACCACUGAUUAAUAAAGUUAAACCCAAAUUAAGGAAGCAUAAACCCAAAUAGAAUAUAUAUAAUAUGGUUUACUAAACUCAAACAUCUACUUACUAAAUCUAAACCCUAUGCAUGAGCCUAUAAACCUAAAUACAAUCUAUAAAUUAUUUUCCAAUAUUAGACACUGACACAUUUACUUGGAUAGCGUGUUACAUUUCUUCUAUUCCAUAUAGUCUAAGUAGUAUAGUACACGAAUGUUUCAAAUAAUCAAAAAUUUUCAGUGGUGUAUCCAUAGUAUGGAAUGCAAAUAGUAAACCUUCCCCACCCGCAAAAAUACAACAAUACAAGACACACCAUUAAUUAUUAGAGCUAAACCCUAAUUAAGGAAGCAUAAACCUAAAUAGUGUAUAUAUAAUAUGGUUUACUAUACCCAAACCUCUACUUAGUAAAACUAAACCCUAGACAGGAACCUAUAAACUCAAAUACAAUCUAUAAAUUUUUUUCCAAUAUUGGACACUUGAAGGCACAUUUUGAAUAUUAAACCCUAAACUGCUAUCACUAAACCCAAACCUUAACCCCACACCUUCCAAAUACUAAACUCUAAACUCUAAUCACUAAAUCCUAAACCCAAGUAUAUACCCUAAACCCAAAUAGAAUGAAAUAAAAUAAAUAAUAUAGUACAUAUUGGUGAACAAAAUAGAACAUUCUUUAUUAAUUGUCAAAUGAAACGAUACAUGUUCACUACACCCAAAUCCCAACUCUUCCCUUCUAAAUACUAAACCCUAAAUCUUAAUCAAUAAACCCUAAACCCAAGUAUAAACUUUAAACCCUAAACUCUAAACCCAAAUCUCAAAAUCUAAUACU